RNAcentral lists this ribosomal RNA (440 nucleotides) under uncultured bacterium. RNAcentral describes it as "partial 16S ribosomal RNA". It matches the Rfam family "Bacterial small subunit ribosomal RNA", at positions 338 to 795 of the family's 1533-position model. The record is from RNAcentral.
CCUACGGGAGGCAGCAGUGGGGAAUAUUGGACAAUGGGGGGAACCCUGAUCCAGCGACGCCGCGUGAGUGAAGAAGUAUUUCGGUAUGUAAAGCUCUAUCAGCAGGGAAGAAAAUGACGGUACCUGACUAAGAAGCCCCGGCUAACUACGUGCCAGCAGCCGCGGUAAUACGUAGGGGGCAAGCGUUAUCCGGAUUUACUGGGUGUAAAGGGAGCGUAGACGGUGCAGCAAGUCUGAUGUGAAAGGUCGGGGCUCAACCCCGGGACUGCAUUGGAAACUGUUGAACUGGAGUACAGGAGAGGUAAGCGGAAUUCCUAGUGUAGCGGUGAAAUGCGUAGAGAGUAGGAGGAACACCAGUGGCGAAGGCGGCUUACUGGACUGUAACUGACGUUGAGGCUCGAAAGCGUGGGGAGCAAACAGGAUUAGAUACCCCUGUAGUC